RNAcentral lists this ribosomal RNA (253 nucleotides) under uncultured bacterium. RNAcentral's name for it is "partial 16S ribosomal RNA". It matches the Rfam family "Bacterial small subunit ribosomal RNA", at positions 524 to 776 of the family's 1533-position model. The record is from RNAcentral.
UACAGAGGGGGCAAGCGUUGUUCGGAAUUACUGGCCGUAAAGGGCGCGUAGGCGGCCUUCUAAGUCGAACGUGAAAUCCCUGGGCUCAACCCAGGAACUGCGUCCGAUACUGGAAGGCUUGAAUCCGGGAGAGGGAUGCGGAAUUCCAGGUGUAGCGGUGAAAUGCGUAGAUAUCUGGAGGAACACCGGUGGCGAAGGCGGCAUCCUGGACCGGUAUUGACGCUGAGGCGCGAAAGCCAGGGGAGCAAACGGG